UUGUUUAGGUCACAGUACAGUAGGAAAAUCUAGCAAGCCCGACAUCGGGGUUGCGGGCUUGCGAGCUCGUGAAGAGAGGGAAUAGGAGAGUGAGGUGGCGUGAUCGGAAAGGGGUAAGAGGAUAGGUGUGGAGAGCACCGACGAGGGGCCCGGUCGUCGUCGGCAGCUGCCCCUCGCGUCGAGCGGAACACAGCGCCGCCUCGUCCGCCGCCUUGUCGGCCUCCUACUCCUUCGACCACCUCCGCGCCACACUGCCGUCACCACGCACCACCGAGCGGCUCCUGCUACUUCGCUCCCCUCCGCCGCUGAGGGUCCGGUCGCGUCUAGUUGCCCCGAGGCUGCGGCACCCUCAAGCAGCACCUGCGGCUGCCCCGCGGACUCCUAUACCGAGUCUGCCUCCACCACGCCGCGCUCGUGAGCCGCCGACCCCGUGCUGCGCCUACGUCGACGCACCAACGCGGACCUCACGCUCCUUCGCCCGCCCCCGUCGCCGCGACUCCGGGCGAUCUGAGGCCACCUACACCGGGAACCAGCGGCGGCAGGCGACCAGAGAAGCAGGCCGCUUAGCUGCGGCCUAAACAUCCCAGGUUGCCGCGCCCCACCGAGACCACUGGAACGCGUUCCUACCGCGCGUACCCCUUCUGUUGGUGGUACCGGUUGGAUCAUCCAAGGUACCCCGAGCCGUUAGUGCUACCCCAAGCUUGAAGCGCCGGGCACUGCUCCGCCAGCAGCCGCGGUCUCCAGCUGAGGGGACCAGUUGCAGAGGAAGGAUGCUUCUUCUUCUCCAAUAAGAAGUCUCUUAAUACCGCAAAGAAAACCAAACAUUGGUAGUAGUUAUUGUGUACCCGUUGAUAAGUCAUUAGACACAUGGAAUGUGAUGAAGGAGGACAAACGUGACUAUACACCUAAGGAGUUUAAAACUUCGUCGGACUUGCAAUGGUAGUCUAAGAUUAAGUGAAACGUACAGAGUUUAAGACAACAUAAAAAAGGAUCGACUAAAGACUCAGUUCAACACUAUUUCAUCAAUCGAAUCGAUACAUGACUUCAAUCAAAUCAAACCACACAUGGGCUCCAAGACGAAUUUUAUCAAUGGUAACAUAAUCUGUAUAUAAACUGUAGAAUAAAUCGUUCUAUAAGGAGCUCUUAUCUGUGUCAAAAGUAGAACAGUUGAUGUUGAGGCUGCAUGUAAAAAACGG
This 1196-nucleotide ribosomal RNA is filed under the name Triticum aestivum (bread wheat). RNAcentral describes it as "partial small subunit ribosomal RNA". Lineage: Eukaryota; Viridiplantae; Streptophyta; Magnoliopsida; Poales; Poaceae. The record is from RNAcentral.